GACGAACGCUGGCGGCGCGCUUAACACAUGCCAGUCGAACGGAAAGGCCUGCUUUCCCUUGUGGAUUGCGGGUACUCGAGUGGCGAACGGGUGAGUAACACGUGAGUGAUCUGCCCCCAACUUGGGUAUAAGCCUGGGAAACUGGGUCUAAUUCCCGAUAGGACUGCAGGGUGGUGCCUGCGGUGGAAAACGAUUUUCUAGUGGUUGGGGAUGAGCUCGCGGCCUAUCAGCUUGUUGGUGGGGGAAUGGCCUACCAAGGCGGCGACGGGUAGCCGGCCGGGGAGGGGGGACGGCGACAUUGGGACUGAGAUCCGGCCCCGACUCCUACGGGAGGCAGCAGUGGGGAAUAGUGCACCAUGGGCGGAAGCCUGAUGCAGCGACGCCGCGUGGGGGAUGACGGCCUUCGGGUUGUAAACUCCUUUCGACCGCGAGGAAGCCACCUGGUUGGAAGGGUGGUGACGGUAGUGGUAGAAGAAGCACCGGCUAACUACGUG
This 494-nucleotide ribosomal RNA is filed under the name uncultured bacterium. RNAcentral describes it as "partial 16S ribosomal RNA". It matches the Rfam family "Bacterial small subunit ribosomal RNA", at positions 28 to 507 of the family's 1533-position model. The record is from RNAcentral.